This 82-nucleotide transfer RNA is filed under the name Canis lupus familiaris (dog). It matches the Rfam family "tRNA". From Rfam's summary of the family: Transfer RNA (tRNA) molecules are approximately 80 nucleotides in length. Their secondary structure includes four short double-helical elements and three loops (D, anti-codon, and T loops). RNAcentral also lists the same sequence under 1 other name. Lineage: Eukaryota; Metazoa; Chordata; Mammalia; Carnivora; Canidae. The record is from Rfam by way of RNAcentral.
GCCUGAGUGGCUCAGUGGUUGAGCGUCUGCCUUCAGCACAGGUCGUGAUCCUGGUGUCUCGGAUCGAGUCCCAGAUCGGGCU